This 407-nucleotide ribosomal RNA is filed under the name uncultured bacterium. Its description in RNAcentral is "partial 16S ribosomal RNA". It matches the Rfam family "Bacterial small subunit ribosomal RNA", at positions 30 to 526 of the family's 1533-position model. The record is from RNAcentral.
AUUGAACGCUAGCGGGAUGCCUUACACAUGCAAGUCGAACGGCGUGGCGCACGGGUGAGUAAUAUAUCGGAACGUGCCCAGUAGCGGGGGAUAAAUACUCGAAAGAGUCGCUAAUACCGCAUAAUAUUGUAGCGGCCGAUAUGGGAUUAGCUAGUUGGUGGGGUCAAGGCUCACCAAGGCAACGAUCCGUAGCUGGUUUGAGAGGACGACCAGCCACACUGGGACUGAGACACGGCCCAGACUCCUACGGGAGGCAGCAGUGGGGAAUAUUGGACAAUGGGGGAAACCCUGAUCCAGCCAUCCCGCGUGUAUGAUGAAGGCCUUCGGGUUGUAAAGUACUUUUGGCAGAGAAGCGGUAUCUGCAGAAUAAGCACCGGCUAACUACGUGCCAGCAGCCGCGGUAAUAC